UGGGGAAUAUUGGACAAUGGGCGCAAGCCUGAUCCAGCCAUGCCGCGUGAGUGACGAAGGCCUUAGGGUUGUAAAGCUCUUUUGGCGGGGAAGAUAAUGACGGUACCCGCAGAAUAAGCUCCGGCUAACUUCGUGCCAGCAGCCGCGGUAAUACGAAGGGAGCUAGCGUUGUUCGGAAUCACUGGGCGUAAAGCGCACGUAGGUGGGCAGUUAAGUCAGGGGUGAAAGCCCGAGGCUCAACCUCGGAAUUGCCUCUGAUACUGGCUGUCUAGAGUUCGAGAGAGGUGAGUGGAAUUCCUAGUGUAGAGGUGAAAUUCGUAGAUAUUAGGAAGAACACCGGUGGCGAAGGCGGCUCACUGGCUCGAUACUGACACUGAGGUGCGAAGGCGUGGGGAGCAAACAGGAUUAGAUACCCAAGUAGUCCCUGAGCGGGCUGGCAAGGCGCAU
Molecule: ribosomal RNA, 447 nt
Filed under: uncultured bacterium
Lineage: Bacteria
Description: bacterial SSU rRNA
Rfam family: Bacterial small subunit ribosomal RNA
Source: RNAcentral